This 323-nucleotide ribosomal RNA is filed under the name uncultured bacterium. Its description in RNAcentral is "bacterial SSU rRNA". It matches the Rfam family "Bacterial small subunit ribosomal RNA", at positions 28 to 334 of the family's 1533-position model. The record is from RNAcentral.
GAUGAACGCUGGCGGCGUGCUUAACACAUGCAAGUCGAACGGAACUCAUUGGAUCAAGACUUCGGUCAAGUGAAUUUGAGUUUAGUGGCGGACGGGUGAGUAACGCGUGAGGAACCUGCCUCGGAGUGGGGAAUAACAGUUAGAAAUGACUGCUAAUACCGCAUAAUGCAUAUUGAUCGCAUGGUCGAUAUGCCAAAGAUUUAUCGCUCUGAGAUGGCCUCGCGUCUGAUUAGCUAGUUGGCGGGGUAACGGCCCACCAAGGCGACGAUCAGUAGCCGGACUGAGAGGUUGGCCGGCCACAUUGGGACUGGGACACGGCCCAG